CAGUCGCCACGGUAAUACGAAGGGUGCAAGCGUUAAUCGGAAUUACUGGGCGUAAAGCGUGCGUAGGCGGUGAGUUAAGUCUGCUGUGAAAUCCCCGGGCUCAACCUGGGAAUGGCAGUGGAUACUGGCUCGCUAGAGUGUGUCAGAGGACGGUGGAAUUCCCGGUGUAGCGGUGAAAUGCGUAGAGAUCGGGAGGAACAUCAGUGGCGAAGGCGGCCAUCUGGGACAACACUGACGCUGAGGCACGAAAGCGUGGGGAGCAAACAGGAUUAGAUACCCCAGUAGUCCCUGUCUCUUAUAA
This 301-nucleotide ribosomal RNA is filed under the name uncultured bacterium. Its description in RNAcentral is "partial 16S ribosomal RNA". It matches the Rfam family "Bacterial small subunit ribosomal RNA", at positions 509 to 809 of the family's 1533-position model. The record is from RNAcentral.